CCCUUUGGGGCCCUGCCAGCAGCACCAAAAGAAUCUCUUGACUGUUUUCCCAGGGAAUUCCUGCCUUAAAUGUCAGCGGAGUACAGCUCCCAGCCGAAGCAGAGGCCGCCUGGAUCCUAAUCAAGGAAAUGUGCUGCUAUACCAACUGGGGAAGACCUGGAUCCACGGGGCUGGGGGCGGGACGGGGGUUCAGUGAAAGGAUUUCGGGGGCCUUGGAGAAGGUCUCAUCAGAUGCACCGCACUGACGAAUGGGAAGCUAGGAGGAAGAGGUCAGCGUUCUGAGGGCCAAAGUGGGGGACAGUCCACCAACCCCAAAGACGAACAGCAGUGCCAAAGGAGAGCCGUGUGGCGCUCCUCACCCCGACACUCACAGGUGCCUGACCCAAAGGGCUGAUUUGGAAUCAGCAGGCCCGGCUACCAUCCUCCCCAAAGAUCGCAGGGCGACUCAGUGAGCAGGUCGAGAAUCCAUCAAUACGUUGUUAUUCUAUUUCUAAGUGAAAUCGGUCCUUCCAAAUUCACCAAUGGGGAAAAGAUAUUUUAGAUCCCAAAUAUCAUUUGGCUCUUGACCCAGGACACUUCAAAGCAGGUCCACUUAGACACAAUGAUGAAUAUUCGCCAGGCUCCCCACCUCCUCUCAUCCCACAGUCACCGCAAACUCAUUACGGCUGCCUUCUCCCAUCGUCACAUCCUGAGUGCCCGCUGCAGGCCACAGACAAUCCUAUUGGAGAGCUGUGUCCCUCCCCAGAGAAAUGCCAGACCCCUCGUGGGGCUUGCUCGGGGAUGAAGGUGUGGCAGAAGGAUCCCUUCUACCACCUGGAACCUAAAAAGGACAGUAAGUACCGCCCAGUGGGAAAAACUGCCUCCAGUGGGUGAAGGGUUAAUCCCUGGCCAGCCAUCAUCCCCCGCUGAGCGUGCUAAUAAGUGUAAGAGCUGGUGCCAAUGAGGGUGGCCCUUCCCUUGAUGGGAACCGGAACCGGGAACCAGAACCGCCACCCUUAGGAACUGGACUGUCCACACCUCCCCCCAGGGCGGCGACCC
Myotis davidii is the source of this 1038-nucleotide long non-coding RNA. RefSeq lists it as uncharacterized. The transcript has 3 exons. The record is from RefSeq and is a predicted model, not a curated record. NCBI's taxonomy places the organism in Eukaryota, Metazoa, Chordata, Mammalia, Chiroptera, Vespertilionidae.